AUACGUAGGGGGCGAGCAUUGUCCGGAAUGAUUGGGCGUAAAGGGCGCGUAGGCGGCGCGGUAAGUCUGGAGUGAAAGUCCUGCUUUCAAGGUGGGAAUUGCUUUGGAUACUGCCGCGCUUGAGUGCAGGAGAGGUUAUCGGAAUUCCCGGUGUAGCGGUGAAAUGCGUAGAGAUCGGGAGGAACACCAGUGGCGAAGGCGGGUAACUGGACUGCAACUGACGCUGAGGCGCGAAAGUGUGGGGAGCAAACAGGAUUAGAUACCCUGGUAGUCCACACUGUAAACGUUGAAUGCUAGGUGUAAGAGGUAUCGACCCCUUUUGUGCCGGAGUCAACACAAUAAGCAUUCCGCCUGGGGAGUACGGCCGCAAGGUUGAAACUCAAAUGAAUUGACGGGG
This 397-nucleotide ribosomal RNA is filed under the name uncultured bacterium. RNAcentral's name for it is "partial 16S ribosomal RNA". It matches the Rfam family "Bacterial small subunit ribosomal RNA", at positions 523 to 918 of the family's 1533-position model. The record is from RNAcentral.